AUUGAACGCUGGCGGCAGGCCUAACACAUGCAAGUCGAGCGGAUGAGAGGAGCUUGCUUCUUGAUUCAGCGGCGGACGGGUGCGUAAUGCCUAGGAAUCUGCCUGAUAGUGGGGGACAACGUUUCGAAAGGAACGCUAAUACCGCAUACGUCCUACGGGAGAAAGCAGGGGACCUUCGGGCCUUGCGCUAUCAGAUGAGCCUAGGUCGGAUUAGCUAGUUGGUGAGGUAAUGGCUCACAAAGGCGACGAUCCGUAACUGGUCUGAGAGGAUGAUCAGUCACACUGGAACUGAGACACGGUCCAGACUCCUACGGGAGGCAGCAGUGGGGAAUAUUGGACAAUGGGCGAAAGUCUGAUCCAGCCAUGCCGCGUGUGUGAAGAAGGUCUUCGGAUUGUAAAGCACUUUAAGUUGGGAGGAAGGGUUGUACGUUAAUACCGUGCAAUUUUGACGUUACCGACAGAAUAAGCACCGGCUAACUCUGUGCCAGCAGCCGCCGUAA
RNAcentral lists this ribosomal RNA (500 nucleotides) under uncultured bacterium. RNAcentral describes it as "partial 16S ribosomal RNA". It matches the Rfam family "Bacterial small subunit ribosomal RNA", at positions 30 to 523 of the family's 1533-position model. The record is from RNAcentral.